This is a non-coding RNA of Xyrichtys novacula (pearly razorfish), 2497 nucleotides long. Lineage: Eukaryota; Metazoa; Chordata; Actinopteri; Labriformes; Labridae. The record is from the annotation of a GenBank genome assembly.
CAGCAGAAACCUUCACAUCUCCUCUGGACACAGAGAAACAGAAAUACAUGUGAGAUCAGCUGAGGAAGAUUAGAAACAGGAACGUUUAGGAGGUAAGAUUAUAAUUAAACCAAGUCAAAUUACUUGAUGAAUUCUUAGUGAAAGUAAUUAAACUGAUGAACUGACUGUAGGCUGAGGUACAUUUUCUGCAUUUAUUGGAAUUCCCGUUGUGCCACCAGGGACAUAAUUCAACUCCAGUGUUUUAUUAGAUUUAGAGUCAUUUCCUUAUUACAAUAUUUCAUUAAACUUGGAACUGUGCGACGCAGGGACGUAGUUUUAAGGCAAGAGGAAACUCGGAUCGGGACACACCAGACUUCUGAACUUCUGGGCUGUUGUGUGCAUAAUGGAAGUGUCUAAUUUUAACAUUUAUUAAAGGGAUAUUUCACUGUUUUUUAUGACCAAGCAUUAGGGCCACAUUAAGAAAAAAAUACAUUUAGACCUCAGAAUUAUUUAUGAGAAUAAAGUCGUAAUAAAGUAAUAACUUAUGAGAAUAAAGUCAUAAUUAAGUUAUUACUUAUGAAAAUAAAGUCGUAAUGAAGUAAUUAUGAGAAUAAAGUUGUAAUAAAGUAAUUAUGAGUAUUAAGUUGUAAUAAAAUCAAUACUUAUGAGGACAAAGUCGUUAAGUUACAUGUCAUUUAGAGGUUCAUCAGCUAAAGUGGAUGUUGGUCAGGUAUUUCCCUUUAAACUUUAAAGUCAUGGUUGAUGAUUGGAGAGAUUGGUGAUUAUUAUGAACCUCGUUUCUAUGGCGAUCAUGGUCCUGUAGUGCGAUCUCCACAAAGUGAAGAGAAAAAAGAACGGAAAAAAUCUGUUCACCCUAUCAGGUGCAGGGCUGCAAAAACAUUGACCAAUGGGAGCCAUCUGUCCCAGACAGCUCCUAUUGGUCAAUCUCCUGCUCCGCCUCUCCAUCCAAUCACCUCGCUGUAUUCGACACAGUAGUGUAGCAGCUUAGCUCGAUGGAGAAGGAUGGGAAAAAACACUUCUGCUCUCUCCACCGCCAAAAGUGGGAAGAAAACACAAGCCGACAGAAGAAAGGGCGGAGUCGAAGAGGACAUGUGACCAAGUGAGGAAUCUAACUGGAAUAAACAUCGGGUCAUCCUCCGAGCGGUGGAGAAAACAGACGCAGAGACAGCAGAGUUUUUGUUGAACAGGUCAUUUUUAUCGCCUUUUAUCGUGGCUCAUGUUACAUAAAUAACUCUGAUUAGUUAUUAUUUAUUAGUUAUUACGAACAAUCCGACAUGGUGAAUCCUGUUUGAAGCUAGCGUAGGAUCCUCUGCCAGAGGGGGUGUGUCGUGAGGAGGGUGAUACAGGUUCAGGGGGGAGUUAUGGUGGAGCACAGAGGGGAGAGGUUUGUGUGUGGGGAGUGGGACGCUUUUUUCAAAUCUGCCUCAACGACUCAGUUUUUUUCAACUGCUUCUCAGAUCGUCAACCAGGACAUUAAUGAGAAACUGGCUGCAGGCAGGGUCAAGUUUGUCAUGUAAAUUAGCUGCUUUAUGAAACUCGGACCCUGAGCUCUUAUCCCAGUUUCACUGUUUUUUUCUGCAGUUCACCUUCAGAGAGUCCGUUUGUUUUUGCAUGAUCUGCAGACACACACGUUCCUCUCCAUGAUACUUUUCCAUGGUCACUAUUUCAAGUUUGAGUUUUCUAGAUUAAACUGAAGUCAUCGUGGUAAUUAUUACGAUCCAGAUCAACAAAGUGCUCUUCUAUUAGGGGAGGGGAGAUUAAAAAUAAAGGUCUGGUCCCCUCUGAAGUCCAGCCUAGACUUGGAUUCACGGUGGUGCAGUUUUUAAAAAGGUCUGAAAAAGUCAUGCAAAAUUAAUGCAUCCUCCUCCCUCUCCAUUAAUAACCUCAUUUUAAGAUGGUUUGGCAUUAAUACAUGAAAAUGUCAUCUAAAAAUAAGGUUAUUUUAGAGGAUAUGAGCUUUAUAGAGGGCUGUGGUGUGCAGAGGUGGAGGUAUAAAUCUGCUUUGUGACUGUUUAAGACAGAUAUAUAAACCGCAGUCUGAUGCAGAGCAGCAAAAAUAUGAUGAAAUAUUAAAAUAGGACAAAAGUUCUGAGUUUUCUGCUCUCAGGUGGUAAAGGGCAUGUCAGGAUUUAGUUGAGAGCUUACAGUCCUACCACUGUUUCUCUCACUUCCCUGCCGUAUUAAUGAGUGGAGCCCCUGGCUGCUGUCAGGCCUCCGUACACACCGUCACAACCAGACAGCAAGAUAAUCAUUUCCAACCUGCUGGCAUAAGCAUUAAAACUCUUGUUUCACCCCGUCUCCUCUGCUUCUUCUUCUUCUUCUUCUCUGUCCUUUUCAGAUCUGAGGUUCUUAUCGGUCCAGAAGCUGCGGCAGUGUUGAACCGCACUCGGGCCUCUUAUUAAGUCGGCCGACGGGCGGAGGAGCUAUCAGGCACUCCAUCGCCUUUUCAUCGAGGCCGCGGAGUGGCUUCAAAGAGAGAAAUGCAUGCAAAGAGAAG